This 561-nucleotide ribosomal RNA is filed under the name Triticum aestivum (bread wheat). Its description in RNAcentral is "partial small subunit ribosomal RNA". Lineage: Eukaryota; Viridiplantae; Streptophyta; Magnoliopsida; Poales; Poaceae. The record is from RNAcentral.
AUGGCUGACGAUGCUGGCUAUUGUUUUGUGGUAGAUAUAAAGUUCAGUGGUAAAAGAGUUGCCAUUCUUGGGCUUGGCAGGAUAGGCUUAGCCAUAGCAAAAAGAGCUGAAGCAUUUGGUUGCUCAAUCAGUUAUCAUUCAAGAUCAGAGAAGCCAUUUCCAAACUACAAGUUCUUUACAAAUGUUGUUGACCUGGCAGCCAAUUGUGACGUGCUUAUUGUAGCAUGUUCGCUUAAUGCCGAGACACAUCACAUGGUCAAUCGUAAGGUCAUGGAUGCGUUAGGACCGGAUGGUGUGCUCAUAAACAUUGGGCGUGGAGCACUUGUGGAUGAACCUGAGCUUGUGUCUGCUCUUCUUGAGAAACGCCUUGGCGCAGCAGGCCUUGAUGUGUUUGAGCAUGAGCCCUUUGCUGCGGAGCAACUUUUCAGCUUAGAUAAUGUUGUUUUGGUCCCUCAUGUAGGAAGUGAUACCGAAGAAACAUGCAAGGCAAUGGCUGAUCUGGUUCUAAAGAAUUUAGAGGCACAUGCUCUUAAUAAGCCCUUACUCACCCCAGUGCCCUGA